UACGGGAGGCAGCAGUGGGGAAUAUUGCACAAUGGGCGCAAGCCUGAUGCAGCCAUGCCGCGUGUAUGAAGAAGGCCUUCGGGUUGUAAAGUACUUUCAGCAGUGAGGAAGGUAGUGUAGUUAACACCUGCAUUAUUUGACGUUACCUACAGAAGAAGCACCGGCUAACUCCGUGCCAGCAGCCGCGGUAAUACGGAGGGUGCGAGCGUUAAUCGGAAUUACUGGGCGUAAAGCGCAUGCAGGCGGCCUGUUAAGUCAGAUGUGAAAGCCCGGGGCUUAACCUCGGAAUUGCAUUUGAAACUGGCAGGCUAGAGUCUUGUAGAGGGGGUAGAAUUUCAGGUGUAGCGGUGAAAUGCGUAGAGAUCUGAAGGAAUACCAGUGGCGAAGGCGGCCCCCUGGACAAAGACUGACGCUCAGAUGCGAAAGCGUGGGGAGCAAACAGGAUUAGAUACCCUGGUAG
This 460-nucleotide ribosomal RNA is filed under the name uncultured bacterium. Its description in RNAcentral is "bacterial SSU rRNA". It matches the Rfam family "Bacterial small subunit ribosomal RNA", at positions 340 to 793 of the family's 1533-position model. The record is from RNAcentral.